RNAcentral lists this ribosomal RNA (388 nucleotides) under uncultured bacterium. RNAcentral describes it as "bacterial SSU rRNA". It matches the Rfam family "Bacterial small subunit ribosomal RNA", at positions 30 to 420 of the family's 1533-position model. The record is from RNAcentral.
AUUGAACGCUGGCGGCAUGCCUUACACAUGCAAGUCGAACGGCAGCGGACCUUCGGGUGCCGGCGAGUGGCGAACGGGUGAGUAAUAUAUCGGAACGUACCUUUCAGUGGGGGAUAACGCAGCGAAAGUUACGCUAAUACCGCAUAUUCUGUGAGCAGGAAAGCAGGGGAUCGCAAGACCUUGCGCUGAUUGAGCGGCCGAUAUCAGAUUAGCUAGUUGGUGAGGUAAAGGCUCACCAAGGCGACGAUCUGUAGCGGGUCUGAGAGGAUGAUCCGCCACACUGGAACUGAGACACGGUCCAGACUCCUACGGGAGGCAGCAGUGGGGAAUUUUGGACAAUGGGCGCAAGCCUGAUCCAGCCAUGCCGCGUGAGUGAAGAAGGCCUCGG